RNAcentral lists this transfer RNA (81 nucleotides) under Marasmius oreades (fairy-ring Marasmius). It matches the Rfam family "tRNA". Rfam says of the family: Transfer RNA (tRNA) molecules are approximately 80 nucleotides in length. Their secondary structure includes four short double-helical elements and three loops (D, anti-codon, and T loops). Further hydrogen bonds mediate the characteristic L-shaped molecular structure. tRNAs have two regions of fundamental functional importance: the anti-codon, which is responsible for specific mRNA codon recognition, and the 3' end, to which the tRNAs corresponding amino acid is attached (by aminoacyl-tRNA synthetases). tRNAs cope with the degeneracy of the genetic code in two manners: having more than one tRNA (with a specific anti-codon) for a particular amino acid; and 'wobble' base-pairing, i.e. permitting non-standard base-pairing at the 3rd anti-codon position. The record is from Rfam by way of RNAcentral. Lineage: Eukaryota; Fungi; Basidiomycota; Agaricomycetes; Agaricales; Marasmiaceae.
GCCCGCCUAGCUCAAUCGGAUAGAGCGUCAGACUCUUAAGCGGGCAUCUGAAGGCUGCGAGUUCGACCCUCGCGGUGGGCU